GCAUACUAGUAAAGUUGGACUCUUGAUUUGGCCCAUUAUCAUCACUAUUUUUUUUCUAGGGCUAUAGGCUGAACUUUGAAUUGUUUUUUCAAGAAAUUAUACAUAUUUUUGCAUCUACGUUAUGUGAAUUUUCCAGAAAUUUAAGAAAGUUGUACAGUCUGUAGAAACCAGAUACUCCGGGUAAAUUCUCCGUGUGCGCCAGAGCUUCUCAGGUCCACAACCCAAGCUGUUCUCGGCAUCCGCCUACAGUGAGUCAAAAUGGGAAUGGGCCGACCCAGCCCUGGCCCCGUGGCCCCAAGGUCAAAAUAUGAGGCCACGGGCCGGCCCAUUUUAUCAGAAUUUUGUGGCCCCAUUGACCCAUUGGGUACAUGAGGCCGACACAGAAUUUAGCAAAUGUUUAGUAAAAUGGCAAGAUCAUGAGACUACAUGUUUGAAAGAGCAUCAAGCUAAAUACCUCAAUCCAAUAGAUUCGAACAAGAUCAAAAGAUUACAAGUUUCAAAGAACGUCAAGCUAAUGACCUCAAUCCAACAGACUCAUACAAGAUCAAAAUAUUACAGGUUCAACAUGCUAAUCUUUUCACAUCCAGUAGGUUAUAGAGAAAGCUGACAUAUCUUUGCUUCACCAUCUGCUUGAGGUUUAACAUCAAUUGCUCCAACAAGCAUCAGUCCUCGAUAUCUGUAUUUACAAAGAAAUGUUACAAGAGUAAUUCUGUGCACAUCAACUAAAUAGUAUAUUUAUCCAUCAAAAAAACUAAAUAAUAUAUUUAUGAACAGAGGAAUAUGCUUAGUAGCAAAUGCGUGUUCCAGAAAACCAAUUCAUGAUCAGGUUUGCAAGAAAAUACACUUCUAAAUAUCCAUUAUACACUACCCGUCAUCCACUCCGCAACAUAUUCUAAUCAAGAUUUAGUUAGCAAUGCAUAUUUUUAAUAUAGUUUGGCGAUGAAAAAAAUGAAUCUGAACUACACAUUCAUAUCUGAGAGAAAAAAGAAAUAUAUAUUAGAGAUCAACUAUAACUUGGGGAAACCAAAACUAAAAGCACUACAAAGUCAACACCAAUGAUUAAAUAGAAUUUAUGGCUACACAAACCGUUGAAGAUAGUUCUAAACCUAGGCCAAAACGAACUGGUGCAGUUCUGUGUGUAAAACACUAUAUAUUCAUCUACAUGUUUGGGCUGCAUCUUGCAAAUAGUUCCCUGGAACAAACUGUAGAUAUGAAAUCCCUCUUUAAAAAGCAGACAUCAUACUUUAAGUGUACUUUCAUAUACAUGGCACUACAUACAUCAGAAAGUUUCUCAUACCUUGUAAGUCUAGUAAAAUGUCAUGAACUGAAGCCAAGCUACGUUGAGUAUUAGCUGCAGAAAAAAAAAAGAAACUUGUAAACUUGAAGUAUUGAUAAGAAACAAAGAAGAAACUUGUGUUGUAUGGCUUUACCGGUGGCCCUUAUCCAAUCUUGUAAGCAAACAAGAGCUUCAAGUGUCGUUGCGGUCAUUCGACUUCGAAAAUCUGAUAGGACUCUCUCCCCUGUGCUGAAGGCGGACUCGGAUGCCACCGCAGAGGCAGGAGCCGCCAAGAUAUCUACUGCCAUGCGACUCAGCGUUGGGUAUUCACCUGAGUUCGUCUGCCACCAUGCAAGGAUAUUGAAUUGAUCACUUCGACGGAUGGGUACCUUUGACAAGUACGAAUCAAGUUCAGUAGAAUCCAAAUUUGUUGAUCGAGCAGUGAGGGUGACAUGUUGGUCCCAAUCAGCCAUAGGAUCUUCACCACUUAUAGCCAUGUCAUCAUCACCUCCUUGUGACAUGGGAUCUGAGCCAUUGUCAUUCAAUUGGAGGUAUUCCUUGAACAACCCUUGGAACACAUUUUUUUAUUUUAGCAAUCAUUGCUGCAGCUACGUUCCCAAACUCUAGGCCAAAUCGGAACUCAAUAUAUUUCAACUUGAAUUGUGGGUCCAAAAUCACUGGAAUACAAAGGCUCAACCAUGUCAUCUUCCAGUACCUUCUGAAUUUUCUCUUCAUAUAUUUGACUGUUGUACCCAUCUCAGAAUCCUCUUCAUAAUGUUGUUGCUCUAAGGUCAGCUUCACUUUUCACAUUUCAUGGAAAUACAAAUUAGCAGUUGGAUAUUUUGUGCCCGAUAUCACAUUAGUGGCUUCAUAAAAUGCCUUCAGUAGCCUGCAAACAUCUUCGGCAUUUUCCCAAUCCUCAAAAGAUGGCUUGAAGGUAUAUUGUUUAUCGUGAAUGGCCAAAGAGUCAAACACUCCGCGAUACUCCUUCGCUAUAUCAAUCAUCAUGUAGGUUGAGUUCCAGCGAGUUGGAACUUCAAGACUUGGAGUUCUCCCACAUGAUACACCAUGCUGCGCAACGAUUUCUUGAAAUUUUUCCUUUCGACUUGGUGAGCUUCGAAUAUAUUUGACACUUUCACGCAUCAUGUUGAUCACUGGACCAAGGAAGUUCAAUCCUGCUUGACAUAUCAGAUUUAUGACAUGGGCAGCACAACGUUGGUGAAACAACUUGCCACUACCAGGUAACAUCUUCUUAAGCAGGAGAUGUGCCUUCAAUAGCUUCAUCAUUGCACCAUUGUUUGAUGCAUUGUCUAGCGUCACAGCAAAGAGAUUAUCUUCAAUGUUCCACUCUCUUAUGAAAUUCACCAUGACGUUGAACAUUGCAGCUCCUGUGUGCGGCGUCUCCAUAGCUGCGAAUUUCACUAUCCUCUUCUGCGGCUUCCACUCCUCAUCAAUGAAGUGAGCUGUGAUGCAAAUGUACCCCACUGUCUGAUUUGAUGUCCACAGAUCCGUAGUCAAAGAAAUCUUGGAUUUGGAGUUUUGGAACAUCCUUUGCAGAAUUCUCUUCUCUUCCUUAAAUGCUUUCAUGCAGUCCUCCUUCACUGUUUUUCUACAUAUCAUCUUGAAGCUAGGAUUUAGACUAGAGACAAAUCUUCUAAAUCCAUCGUACUCCACCAAUGAGAAUGCCAAUUCAUGCAACACAAUCAUCCUCAUUAGCUCUCGGCGUGCUAAUGCCUGAUUAAAUGUCCAGAGCCCCAUUGCAACUCCAUCAGGACUCACGAUAGAAGCACUCAGCUGUCCAGAAACUCUAAGAACCUUCUUCCUUUCCCUGCAUCUCUUCAAAUGUUUGCGCAAUGAACUUGUUCCAUGUUUACGCUCAGCACAAAUAUUCCUUGCACAGUGUUUGCACUCAGCAGCUACAACUAUGCCAUCAACACGGAUAGGCUCAUAUUCUUUCCACACUUUAGACAAAAACUUUCUUCCCGGUUCAGAAAAUGAACCCAUGUCAAUGAUCUCAACCCCUCCCUCUUCAUCCACAUUAUCUCCCUCUUCUUCUUCUUCUUCUUCUUCUUCUUCUUCUUCUUCUUCUUCUUCUUCUUCUUCAUCAUCAUCAUAUUCUUCUUCAUCAUCCUCAUCUUCUUCUCCUUCCUCUUCUUCUUCAUAGUCAACAUCUUCUUCAUCAGCCUCAUCUUCUUCACAAUCAACCAUACGAGUGUCUUGUGAACGUCCUGCUGAGCAAAGGACACGAGUGUUAACAUUGCAAUUACGAGUAUUUUUUUAUUUUAGCAAUCAUUAAUUUGCAUCCCUAGAAAAAGAAAGAUUACCAAUACUCACCAUGAUAAGCUCUACAAAUGUUUAUCGAAGAAGGAGACACCCCUGGGGGUGGUUGAGCCCUUCUCAUUGUCGCACCGGAUAUCAACGAUGAACCACCACUUUGGUAUGCCUCAUGGUCCCCUUCUUCCUCUUCCAUUUUUCUGACCAGAGGGAAAUAUAGGAACAUUAGAGAGCAUUAACUUUCAAAAUCAACAGCAGAUGUAAUACCCAAAUUUCAUUUACUUGUACUAGUGUAGGACAACCAACAAAUUUUGUAUAUGAACUUAACAGAAUUUGGUUUGAGAAUCCAAACACUUAGGCCUCCUUUGGUUCAUAGGAUAGGAAUUUCAUAGGAAUAGGAAAAGUAUAGGAAAUGAGGUGGCAUGCAUCUGAAAUCCUAUGAAUGCUCAGACUAUAGGAAUAGGAAACUAAAUGUCAUUUGGUUCAGGGGAUAGGAACACACAUAGGAAACAUAAAGAAAUAAUGUCAUUUGGUUUAUGGUUAAUAAUGUUAACAAUUAUACUCCCUCUGUAAAGAAAUAUAAAAGCGUUUAGAACACUACUUUAGUGAUCUAAAAACUCUUAUAUUUCUUUACGGAGGAAGUAUAUACAAAGUGCAAAUAUAGACCCUGCCAGCAUAGUAUAUUAUCAUGUAACUGGAGUAUGAACUGAGCAACUAGUGCAGGCAAUCAUCAACUCAUCACACGGGCUAGUGCAGGCAAUUAAAAUACAAAUUGGCUGCUAGUGCAUGGAGCCUGAAUACACAAUAGCAUACUACUCCGUAUGAUGGAUCCAGGGAGAGAAGGCAAGAUGGAUCCAGAUAGUGCAGGCAAUUAAAAUACAAGAUGGAUCAAGAUGGAUCCAGGGACUGGACACAGAUUUGAUUCAACUUUUUUAUUUCUUUUCCCAUCCUUGUCUGCACGCGAGUUAGCGAAAAAUGCAGGGAACAGUUAUCCGCGCGCAUGUCGUUCGCCAUAGGAAAUUUUCCAUCAGCUUGGACCUAAUGUUUCUGAUCCUGUGAAAUCUAGUUCAUACUUGUUCAUGUACUUGUUCAUAUAAAACAUUUCCAAUCAAAUAUGAUCUAGUUACUUGUUCAUGUACACUGACUGAAUGACAGGGACCAACACCGUAGAACUACUACAGAACCAACACUGAAAGUAAGGCAUGACCUGGGAGUACACUGACUGAAUGAAUGACAGGGACCAACACCGACUGAAUGACUGAUCCCAUGGCUACAAAGUACACUGACCGAAAGUAGCAGAAUCAAUACUGAAACAAUUGCAGACAACACUGAUCAAGAACCAAAACAAGACCAGUGCUUGCAUUGCAGCUGCGCUGGGACAGGGAGGAAGCCGGCAAGAGUCUCACCUGCGAGAUGAUGACGGCGACCGGAACGGCGAGGUAGACGGUGGACGGGACCGCAGGUCAGCGAGCUCGACGGCGACCAAUACGACGAACGAGAGGCGGGAGGAACGCCGGCGGCAGCAGGCCAGCAGAGAUGUUCAGGGGCAGCCGGCGGCGGCAGAGAUGGUCGGGGGCGGCUGGUAGAGAAGGUCAGGGGAGGCCGAGGGCGGCAAAGAUGGCCAGCAGCUGCCGGCGGCGGCAGAAAUCGUCGGGAGCAGCCUACAGAGAUCGUGGUGGGCGGCGGCAGAGAUGGACUAGGGCAGCGCGAUCAGACGGCUGGGUCGACCCGUCUGGUCCAUCGGGUCACACGGUGCCGGCUCCACUGACCCAUUUUAUGAUUCGAGGCCAACCCACCUGGCCCAUUGGCCUCGAGAUUUCGGGCCGGGUCAAUGACCCAGCGGGCCGACCCGACCCAUUCCCAUUUUGAACAGUGAGCUAUCAUCAACUUUCUCAGGGUAGGUAUGCAUACAGUAAUUGUUUGUUCUCAUAAAUAUAACUUCAGGCAACUCUAGAGUUUCCGCACUGCCAAUACAGCUAACAGUCGUUGGCACCAACACGCUGGUGAUUGAUUAUUCACACCCAUAAUUAGAAAACAAAACCCCGCAAAAUGACGUGCAUCUCAUAUAUAAAUCAUCCUGCCGCCGCCUCAUCAGUAGGUGUAGCCCUUCUGGAACAUGCCCUUCUUGGCCUCGUCGCUCUCGCCCUCGCCGGUGUAGCUGCCGAGCUGCGCCAACGAGUUGGCCUUGGCGCGGACCAGCAGGGCCUUCUGCGCCGCCUCGAUGUUCUCGGGCUGCCCCUGCCACGUCUUCAGCACCGAGUUCUGGAGGGCCCGGGCGUACGAGAAGGACACGUGCCACGGGUUGGCGGACUGGUUCAUCGCGUUCAGGUUCAUGGUUGCCUCCAGCUCGGACUGUCCGCCGGA
This 5914-nucleotide long non-coding RNA is filed under the name Triticum aestivum (bread wheat). RNAcentral's name for it is "long non-coding RNA (TAES_LNC028374)". The record is from RNAcentral. Lineage: Eukaryota; Viridiplantae; Streptophyta; Magnoliopsida; Poales; Poaceae.